Long non-coding RNA from Lathyrus oleraceus (garden pea), 859 nucleotides. RefSeq lists it as uncharacterized. NCBI's taxonomy places the organism in Eukaryota, Viridiplantae, Streptophyta, Magnoliopsida, Fabales, Fabaceae. The transcript has 4 exons. The record is from RefSeq and is a predicted model, not a curated record.
CUGCGUGCUUGAAUCACAGUGACGGCUGCAUGCUGAUUUGCUAGGUCUUGGCUCAGACAAGGCUUGGUAAUGGUGUUUAACUGGUCUAAUGACAGGAGGUUAUCCAUCCGUUGGAGUUGUUGAUUUGAAAAUGUUGUUUUCCAAAAAUGAAAGAAGAUUGGUUCCAUUGUGUAGGAUCAGUUCUUUUUGGAGGUUCGGAUUUGAGCAGCAGAAAGGUCUUCCUUAGUCAAGCGAGUUGGAAACUGGAAUUUUCCUAAAUCAACUUGAACCAGCAUGCCUAUACAAGACCAUGGUACCACCUUGCUCGAUGAGUAUAGCUAGCGUGUUUCAUCCUCUGGGACAUUCUGUUGGAAUUAUGAAUGCUGUCUUUCUUGGCAUAUUGCUCCAGAACGGCAUGACAGGAAGAAUAUACCGGUUGCGAUGUUGGGAAUCAACUGGGUAUUUGGUGUUGUUUGAGCAGCACUUAAUAAGGUUAGGCAUCGUGCAAGACUUGGCUUUAUUGAAGGAUGAACUGGUCCUUCCUUGAAGCUUCUUUGUAGGACUAUGUAAGUCCAUUACUUGCUAUGCCUGAUGUUAUUGUGUUGGACAUUGUGUUGCUGUUUUGGUUUUUCUUGCAGGUUUCCUGAACUGUUGCUGCUGUUUUUGCAUCCCAACUGUAUAAUACAUCACCAUCAAAAGUUCCAUAAUGUGUUUGACAGCGACAUGCAAUAUAACCUCUUGCUCCAUCCCAUAAAACUUUUGAAGGAUAGUUCAUAUGUCCAGGAAGCAUUCUGAGUCUUCUACUUAUUGUGAUCAAUUUUUUUCCAUCGUGGAAUCAAAGGGCGUCCGAUGAGACUAGGCUAAACAUGUACACACCGUC